UUGUCUCGGGCCAGAGAAUCCUUGAAAGACUACCACUGGGCUGCUCAGGGAGCGAUCAGUUUCCUCCAUAAUGCUGAAGCCACCUUCUUAACAGCUCCUGGAGGGUUUUCUGAUUGUACCGAGGAACAGAAACAAACUCAACAAGCUCUGGAAGCUCUGGAAGCUGGAUUUCAGGCUCACAUCAGUCACCUCUCAGGGCUGCUGCCUCAGCAAUCCUGCCUGUCCCGCCCAGACACCGAGGAGCUCCACAUCAGCAUCCUCAGUCAGCUGACAGUGGGAAGAGCCAUAAUGGAGGCCCAAGCUCAGAUCAGACUGGAAUCGCUGCAGAGGUACUGGCUUUCAUUGUGACGCAAUGGUUUCUGUUCCGUUUUCUCCCAAGUGAAAUUAAAGGUAACUUCUAACAGGUGCAAAAUGAGACAACGAGGCCACAAGAAGUGCCACGAGGCUCUGGGGCAGCUUCUGUCGGGGCUCCAAACCAAACUUUCAGAAUGGGCUGCAGAAAAAACCACAUCCUUCGAGAAAUGUGUCGGCCAACAGGAAGCAGCUAAGUUGCUGAUGGAAGAUCUCCGUAGCGUCUCCACCCAAAUCGAAGAACUGAGGGCCGGAUGUCCCAUGCAGGGCUGUGGAGUUGGAAAAGGUGGCGAACUGGGAGCCCUGUGGAGGCGCUGGCUGUGUUUGCGACGUGGCAUUGGCCUCCUGACGGCCCACGCACAACAGAGAGCAAACGAGUGGCGAGACAUUACCGCAAGUGUGAGUUUCACCAGAACUUACCCAGAGAUCCUCUCAGUACGCCCAUAUUGAUGAGCUUACCAUUCUGAUGCAUGGCUGUUGCAUUUUCUGUAGAUAAAGGAGUCACGUAGGUGUCUGAAUACGCUGCAGGCCGAUGUUCUCGACGCCUCCACUGUGAGUUUCACUAUGGUGGAUCCUCAGGAGCUUCUGGGUCGGGCUGAAAUGCACCAGGCAGCCCUGCAGGUGCAGCAGCAGGCCCUGGCCUCCCUGCAGCAUCGGAUGGAGCAAGUUCUCAUUUCCUCUACAUCUCAGGAGCCCCUCAGUCCCGGACCUGUGGGCAAAACCCUGGCGAUGAGCCGAGAGAGCGUCGUGAGGUGUGAAUUCUGUCGUAUAUUUCUGAAAUAACCCCUCUCUUAAGCCAAAGAUGCUGAAGGGCUCCUGCUCCCCACAGUUUAAAGGAGAGAAACCUGCUGGUGUUAGCUGCAGCCCAGGCAGAGGUGAGAGAGCGACAGGAGGUCAAAGACGAGAUAGGAGAGGUGGAGCAACAGGUGGCGGCCGUUCUUUCCUCACUGGGACAUCAGGUCAGGCUCCUCCGUUGCUGAGAAUGUCACUUUUCACCUUUUGGCAAAAUAGGGAUCCUUGCAGGUCUAACUGUGUUGAAAAUCCCCGUUUCUUUUCAAUUUCUGCAGGAAUUCAGAGAAGAGUUGUCGUCUCAGAGGGCCAAACUAGAGCGCAUCAGAGAGAGGGCGCAAAUCCGCUACCCUGUGAUACCGGCUGAUAUCUGCAGAAGACUAGACGAAGCUCAUCUGUCCAUUCAAAAGGAAGAGGAGAGGGUAACUGAUACCACCUUUCCUGUUGCUUAUACUUUUACGAUGCAUCAAACACAGGUAUAUUUUCUAUAGUCUGAGACUACCUCCAAAUAUUUUCCUUGUGCAGUAAUCUAGAUGAUUGGGACAACUGAAUGUUUGGGUAGCUCAUUAAUGUGUUUUCAUAAAGCUCACAGGGAAGAAAAACCCAGUUUGGAAGCUGGACACUCAAGUGGCUGAGCUGGAAUCUAGCCUGGAGACCGUGAAGGUGUUACUGGAGCAGCAGAGCCCAACAGUGGACGAAGCACAACAUCUACUCAAGGUGUCCCUUCGUCCGUGUGUCAUUCUGUACCCGAUAACGUUCUUCUCUUCAAUAACAGCUUCAUAUCGACAGAUCGUGCACAUCAGACCCUCUUUUUCUUGUUCCCCAGCAUGUGUGGGAUAAGCUGGAUGCUUGGCAUAGCCGCUUGAUGCUCCUGGAAAAUGAGGUGGAGGAUCUUGCAGAGGAUCACCCUGAUCAAGCCCACAUACUCGUGGACCAACUCACGCGGCCGCUGCAGCUCUACCAGAACGCAGCGCAGAUGGCCGAACAACGCACGGCCUUCCUGGGAAAGGUGAGGAAUUCUGGGGGCGUUUUCGCCCCGCAGGAUUAGAACAUAGGGCCAGUUAUUAUCAAAGCCGUUAUUUCUCUGGAGUGUGAUCUAAUUUUCCCACGCCAGAUCCCCGCCUGUCUUCAGGAGUUUGACGGUAUACUGUACAGUGCCACCUGCUGGUUGGAGGAGGCACAGUCAUGGCUCUAUGCCCCCUGCAGCUUCACAACAGCCAAAAACCUGCAGAACCACGCGAACUCCCUUCAGGUCUAGAACAAUAACCCACACACACACACACACACACAUUAUAGACACAAUCCUCGAAGCCAAACCAACCCAACUAACCUCCUUACCCUAACCUGAACAAGUCUUGACCCUCAAACUGUCCUUCGAGGUUGUGGAUCCUAUAAAAUGUCCCUUUGCUGAAUUGCUGACUUUGGUUUGGGAACUGGUCUGCAGCUGGUGCUGGAUGAUUCGGAGCGGAUCAGACUCGUCAUGCAGGACUUCAGGGCAGUCCUAGAUGACAUCUGCUCCGUGUGCAACAUGAGCUGGCAGAAGGACAGGCUGCAGCAGAGCGACCAGCAAGUCCACAAAAUGCAGCGUACCAUCCUGGAGCAGCUGGAGCUUUUUGUUCAGGCUGUUCAGGUAAAACAAUCAGCAUCGGGUUUCGGCCAUAGUUGGAUGUUUCGGGUAGAAACGACGCUGGCAAUGAAAAUAUUGACAUGUGACAUCUACGUUUUAGGAGGUGGAGGCCAUGGAAGAAGAGGUGAAGACCUUGGACAACAACGUUGCUAAGAUUCAAGCUAUUUUGUCGUCUGUUGACAACUCCAGCUUAAGUCUAAGGGAGCAACAGGUGAUUGUGUGCUGCUACUGAUCACUGAUUCAAAGCCUCCGAUACAGAUGGAACACCUAAGGGUCAGUUACAUUCUUCUCUUACAUGUUGAAGGUCAUUCUAACCAACAUGGCGUCCAUACGAAGGACGCUGGAGGAGGUGGAGAGCUGCAAAGGAGAACUUCACCUCCCUCAGGGAGCAGAGGAGAGCCUGCUGAUCUUCUCCAGAGCUCAACAGCUCCUGCAGACAGUCCAGGAGCUGGAGCAGCUCACCGAGCAACAGUCCAUGCAGCUGCAGGUACUUGUGCCUUUACGGGAAAACAUACAUGACAGGUGCACAAAAUAUCCAUCAGAUUUGAUUUGUAGGUGUGAAAAUGGGAUUU
This 3339-nucleotide long non-coding RNA is filed under the name Takifugu rubripes (torafugu). RNAcentral's name for it is "lncRNA (ENSTRUG00000026952.1)". Lineage: Eukaryota; Metazoa; Chordata; Actinopteri; Tetraodontiformes; Tetraodontidae. The record is from RNAcentral.